CCGCGCCUUGGAGGGUCCUCUAGGGUCGGUGGGGGGCCUGGGCCGUGGGAGGCCGGGGGUGCCUCCUGCAGCCGCUGCAGCACAGGGAUCCCCGGCGGGGUCUGCGCCGGGAGAAAGGGAGGUCUCCGGGGCCCGCGAGGCUGCCACGUCGUCCCCUUCCGCCGCUCGGCCCGCCUGCUCGCGGGGACGGAGGAAGGGGCGGGCACGCGUCCAGCUUGCGCGCGAGGCUGGCCAGGCCCUGGGUGCCGAGCCCAGGGCUGUUCGGCCAAGGCCCAGCCAUUCUUCUUAUUCGUCGUGCUCCUAGCUCGCACCGGCGACCCUGGAAGCUGCCCCGGGCUGAGGGAGGUUCUUCCAGCCGCGCCUCAGCCCUGGCGACUCCCGCCUGGGGGCCACUCGACCUUAGGACCCCUCAGGCCUCAGGACCCCUCCGAUCUCAGGACCUCCCAGGCCUCAGGCCCCGCAGGGAUGGCCCAGGCAGGAGGUGCACACAGGGGCCCUGACUGUCCGAGCUGGUUCUGCAGGGGCUGCGAUGGGAUCCCAGCCCUUUCCACCCGUAGCUCCUUUGGCUCGGGCAUUGCCUCUGGUGCUCGGGAGCCUUGUGAGGAGCCCCAGGGUGGGGCCCGUAGUUAGCCAGGGCGAGAGUGGGAUGGGCUUCUGCCUCCGGGUGAACACGCAUGGAUUUAAGAACCCACGCAGGCGUUCGGUCACAGUGCUCACGGCUUCCUCACCCCGGCUGGCACUGUUGGUUCCUGCACGGCCACUGGACCUCACCCAGACAGAGCCGGUUUGGGUCACCUGGCCAAACCCCAAGGGUCCUGGCUCCUGGGUAUGUCACUGCUGUGCAGGCCUCAGCUGGGCCCCAUCCUCAGCAGAUGCCAGGGAAUGCCCCGAUCCCUCCAAUGACCCUGCCUGCGCCCUUGUGGACCUCAUAGUGCAGUGGGCAGGCAGAGACUCUUCUGUGUCUGAGACCUGGGUGAAGGCCAGGGGUCUGUGCCAUCCACGUAACAUGCAGAGAGAAGGCCCUGGCAGGCCAGACCCGCUGCAUGGCCUUGUUCCUGCCCCGUAAGAGUCCCAGCCUAUGCCUAGCAGCAGCACCUGUCCCAAGUGCCACACCCACAGAGAUGGGGUGAGCUCUCUGGCCCCGCCACCAGCAUUGCAACCACCUCCUGGGCUUUUAGUGGCCACUUGCUCUGAUCCCCGAAACCAGAAACCAGAACCCAGCACCCGAGGCCAUGCAAGGCUCCUCACAGAACUGAUCAUCAAGAAAGCCCAGGACACAAAGCCUGCCAGCCACAGGGCAGCACCUGCACCCCAGCGAUCCAGGCAGCCCCACAUGCUGCCUGAGUGCUCUGGAGAGGAGGGGCCCUAGGGUGUCCCAGUCCUGGGAUGAGAGCAGCCUCAGGACCAGGCUUGGAGAGCCAUGAAAGUGGGGUCCUUCCAGAAGCACAGGCCAGGAAGUGGUGUGUGGUGGAGGGGAAGCCUGCUGGAGAUGGUGCGGAGCCAGAUUCAAUGGGGAGAGCUGCCAGAGAGUCAUAGCUGUGUCCCCAGAAGAAGCACAAGUACUAACCCACAGCACCUGUGGCCACGACCUUAGUUGGAAACAGGGUCUUUGCACAUGAUCAGGUUAAGAGGAAGUCAUUAGGGUGGGCCCUAGUCUGAAAUGGCUUGUGUCCCUAUAAAGGGGGAGAUUCGGACUCAGAGACAGACACAGAGAGAGCUCCACGGGAAGGCCGAAUUCUGCUGCUACAGGCCGCAGGCGUCUCCCUGGAGAACUGCAGAGGGGCCUCUACAGCACAGACCCUGCCUGUGUCACGGGCAUACAGAAGAAUCCACGCAGGUUUCCCAACGGGCAGGAUCCUGAUGAGGGGCCGGUUCUUCUGAAGCAGGAGCAGCUGACUGUGUAGGGAGACUGCUGACCGUCCUGCCCCGGUGUCUUCCGCGGCCACGGUUGCCUUGAGCAGGCAUGAAAAAGAAAUACCUGUGAAAAUGGGACUCCUUGAGCAAGAACCCACAUUUGCAAAUGGGGCAGGUCCACCCCAGAAGGGUGCUGAGCAAGUUUAGAUGUCUGGGACUGGCCAGUCCUACUGUCCGAGGGGUCCUUUCUCAGGGCCAGGCUCAGUGGGGAGAGGACGCCGGGCAGGCUGCCUGGGCUGGUGGGCCAGUGACGGGUGGGCUGCCUGCACAGUGGGCCGGUGCAGCCCCCAAGCGGACAGCCUGCCGUUGGAACCAAGAGUCAUUUAAUUUGUUUAAAGCCCAAGUGUAAAGAGACACGGUGACUUUAAUGCGGAGGGGCCCAGAGUUCUUCAGAAGAUGCAUCCAGAAACAAUUUCCUUCCUUAAAACUGAAUUCUGCCUUACGAUAGGAAACUCGGUAAAAUCCGUGAGCAGAAGACUUGCAAACUUUUCCUCUCGAUAUCUUUGCAAUGGCCAUUUCUCCUUUUGGUCCACCUCUCAAGCUGCACUGCACAUGAUAACGUUUCUAAUGUUCCAACUUAAUCUUUUUCUCAGAAUCUUUUCAUUUGCUGAUAUUUUGGUUUCCUGUUUUUUCUCAGUAAUAAAUAAUGAGAAGGUUCAGCAGAGAACGGGCCGUGCGGCCGUGCUGCCGUCUCCCUGGCGUUGCCGGCUCUGUCAGUUGGCUGUGGAGCCCCCGGCAUCUUCCGCGACCCACUCCUUUCUUGUAUACUUGGGUCACGGUUGGUUCUGGGUCAUGAGACUGUUCUGUCACUGCUGUGAGCACCAUGAUGGGCCCUGGCAGACUUCCCUCCAGAUCCCCCUGGCUGCCUCCGUCUGUCCAGCAAACGUGGGAGGGCUGCUCGGGGAAGCAGGCAGGAGUGAGGCCACGGUGCAGGAGGAGACGCAGCCCCGAGAAGGAAGAAGAGGACGGUGUCACUUGAGAGGGCCCAAAGAGUCUGCCCUGCCAGGGCACUGAGUUCAAGGGGCAUCUUGAGUGCGGGAAAGGAAGUGCCUGCUGCUCCCUAGGGCACCUUGGUGGCAUCCGCAGAGGGAAGGCAGCCCCAGCAGCCCCCUGCAGUGACAGCAAACAGCCAGGCGCCAGGGAGGCCCCUGCGGUGACAGCCCUGGGUCACGGGGUCAGAAGCGGCCCACCAAGACCUGGGGCCUGGCAGCCCGGCUCCUGGUCCUCCCUGGUGUAGAUGAUCGACCCACAUGGCGAGACCAGGAGCGUUCCAGGGUCCCGUGGACAUGCGUGAUGUGCCACAGGCCUGUGCGGCAUCCCGCCCGCUGGCCAAGCACCUGGCAUUGCCACUCGGAGUUGAAGAAGGGCAGCCUCACCUGGGAGAGGCGUUCCUUGAAUCCCGCACCUGACAUGAGGAUUCCAGAAGCAUCUUCCCAAGCAGAGCAUCUUUCCUAGCUACGUCAGGGGGAACACCCAUCACCCUCCCUCCUCACCCAAGAGUCCUAAGAGGGGUCGUCUUCAGGCAUCAGGGCUUCCCCUUCCCCGGCCUUCCAAAAUGUUCUCCAGGACUCCCCUUCUCCAAAGUUUCCAGAAUGUUCUCCGGGGCUCCCCAUUCUCUACGUCAUCUAGAAUGUUCUCCAGGGCUCCCCCUUCUCCAGACCUUCCAGAAUGUUCUCCAGGGCUCCUCCUUCUCUGGGCCUUCCAGAACAUUAUCCAGGGCUCCCCCUUCUCUGGGUCAUUCAGAACAUUCUCCAGGGCACAGUGGGGAGGAAGGAGCUCCCACCUUGGCCCAGGAGCCCAAGUGUUGCCCCAGCCUGGGGGGCAACCCUCUCCCCUGGGUGGGCUUUUGGGCUGCCUCAGGACAUGUGGGUUGCCUCAUUUCCUCCCCUGCCCCCAGGCCCCCCGGCCCACCUGCCCAUGUGGACUCUCCACGCUCUUUGACCCCAAGGAAAAAGGUCAAAUGCCAUGUUCUCUGCUGCCUUCUUGAGGGACACUUCAGAUCUGGCUGAGGGAACCAUGCCAGGUGAGGUCAAAGGGCAUGACUUCUGUGGAGGGUGCAGGGUGCAGGGUGGCGACUCGCGCCCAGAGGAAUGACCUUCACCGGCUUGUGCUGGAUUAGCAGGUGACUGUGCAGGACAUCUGAUUGUGCAGCUUAGAGCCAG
Molecule: non-coding RNA, 4076 nt
Organism: Chlorocebus sabaeus (green monkey)
Lineage: Eukaryota; Metazoa; Chordata; Mammalia; Primates; Cercopithecidae
Source: RefSeq, a predicted model, not a curated record